GGAGAGGUAACGAUGUCGACUUGGAGGUUGUUCCCUUGAGGAGUGGCUUCCGGAGCUAACGCGUUAAGUCGACCGCCUGGGGAGUACGGCCGCAAGGUUAAAACUCAAAUGAAUUGACGGGGGCCCGCACAAGCGGUGGAGCAUGUGGUUUAAUUCGAUGCAACGCGAAGAACCUUACCUACUCUUGACAUCCAGGGAAUUUGGCAGAGAUGCUUUGGUGCCUUCGGGAACCCUGAGACAGGUGCUGCAUGGCUGUCGUCAGCUCGUGUUGUGAAAUGUUGGGUUAAGUCCCGCAACGAGCGCAACCCUUAUCCUUUGUUGCCAGCGAUUCGGUCGGGAACUCAAAGGAGACUGCCGGUGAUAAACCGGAGGAAGGUGGGGAUGACGUCAAGUCAUCAUGGCCCUUACGAGUAGGGCUACACACGUGCUACAAUGGCGCAUACAAAGAGAAGCGACCUCGCGAGAGCAAGCGGACCUCACAAAGUGCGUCGUAGUCCGGAUCGGAGUCUGCAACUCGACUCCGUGAAGUCGGAAUCGCUAGUAAUCGUGGAUCAGAAUGCCACGGUGAAUACGUUCCCGGGCCUUGUACACACCGCCCGUCACACCAUGGGAGUGGGUUGCAAAAGAAGUAGGUAGCUUAACCUUCGGGAGGGCGCUUACCACUUUGUGAUUCAUGACUGGGGUGAAGUCGUAAAAGGGGUACCCUAAA
RNAcentral lists this ribosomal RNA (709 nucleotides) under endophytic bacterium WS1b. RNAcentral's name for it is "bacterial SSU rRNA". It matches the Rfam family "Bacterial small subunit ribosomal RNA", at positions 797 to 1506 of the family's 1533-position model. The record is from RNAcentral.